RNAcentral lists this ribosomal RNA (253 nucleotides) under uncultured bacterium. RNAcentral describes it as "partial 16S ribosomal RNA". It matches the Rfam family "Bacterial small subunit ribosomal RNA", at positions 524 to 776 of the family's 1533-position model. The record is from RNAcentral.
UACGUAGGCAGCAAGCGUUGUUCGGAGUUACUGGGCGUAAAGGGUGUGUAGGCGGUUGUUUAAGUUUGGUGUGAAAUCUCCCGGCUCAACCGGGAGGGUGCGCCGAAUACUGAGUGACUAGAGUGCGGGAGAGGAAAGUGGAAUUCCUGGUGUAGCGGUGAAAUGUGUUGAUAUCAGGAGGAACACCCAUGGCGAAGGCAGCAGACUGGGCAUCGCCUGACGCUGAGGUGCGAAAGCGUGGGUAGCAAACAGG